Molecule: ribosomal RNA, 253 nt
Filed under: uncultured bacterium
Lineage: Bacteria
Description: partial 16S ribosomal RNA
Rfam family: Bacterial small subunit ribosomal RNA
Source: RNAcentral
UACAGAGGUCUCAAGCGUUGUUCGGAUUCAUUGGGCGUAAAGGGUGCGUAGGCGGCGCGGUAAGUCGGGUGUGAAAUCUCGGAGCUUAACUCCGAAACUGCAUUUGAUACUGGCGUGCUUGAGGACUGGAGAGGAGACUGGAAUUCAUGGUGUAGCAGUGAAAUGCGUAGAGAUCGUAAGGAAGACCAGUGGCGAAGGCGGGUCUCUGGACAGUUCCUGACACUGAGGCACGAAGGCCAGGGGAGCAAACGGG